GUCCACCAGAGCACAUCCGAGUUGGUGGAUCAAUCACAUUUGGCGCGCUCGCAACCUCAGCGUGGAGAGUUCGAUUCCUGGUGAGAACCUUUGAUCCAAUAAAUGCGCAAUUUAUUGGUGGAUUAAUCACUAUGGAGGAAAGCUCUCUUGAGGCCAUGAGUUUAAAUCGGGUGGGAACCUAUGAUUCAAUAAGGGCACAACAUGCGGUUUACCUCCGCUAGUCACUGAGGGGCCGGUGGCUAGGGGUCCAGGAUUUAGUUUGGCGUAAUUGGAAAGCUGCUUGGAGGUGAACACAGGCCAACUGGGAUAUAUAGAUAUAUAUACGUCACGCAGCUGGGGGAGAAGAAGACGGAGAUACACAAUUGCCAGUUGCUUGGAAUUUAACAUAUAUACGACUCAAACAAAAGUGGCAGCUUUGGGAAGAAUUGGAGUUGGAAUAAAAUACGAGCUGGCUGCUGGGUUUUAUGAUAUAGACAAAAAGGCAGCCAAAAUUGAUAGAAAUUGGAGAGAAGAUUGCUGGCUGCUUGGGCUGAAUUUUAUAAAUAAACAACACACACAAUUUGGGGCAGUUUGGAGUAAAAGAGAAGAAAACAACCGGUUACACUCGCACAAAAGUCGAGCAAAUUUGUGGAAUUUAUCACGUUUCAUCAAUUUCUCGGUGAUUUUUUCCAAUUUUAUGUAUUUAAUUCCAAUCUUAUAUUAGGCUAAUUUUUCUCAUGUAUUGGAUGAAGAUAAAACCCGUUAUUAUUUAUUUUUCAUUCAAGACACGAGGUUUGGUUAAAUUCUUGCAAUUGUUGAUUAUUCUUGCAUGCUUAAUUUUAUUAUUUGAUUGCCAAUUAAAUAUAUAGUUGCUUGUUGUAGUGUUGGGAGGUUCACAAUAAGUUUAGAACAUUGCAUGAUUAACAUAUGUGUAAUAAAUUUUAGGAAUAAGAUUUAUCACGGGUGCAAUCUUUGAGAUAAUUGUGAAAUUGAAUGUGUUUUAUUCAUAUGAAUUCGGACUAGGAAUAGGAUCGGGUCGUGAAUAGGAUAGAUUUAAUUUGUUUUAGAAAGGAAAAUUAAUUAUAAUAGAAUUAUCGAUUGUCAAGAAUGUAAGAGCGAAACUA
Molecule: long non-coding RNA, 1103 nt
Filed under: Olea europaea subsp. europaea
Lineage: Eukaryota; Viridiplantae; Streptophyta; Magnoliopsida; Lamiales; Oleaceae
Source: RNAcentral